UGGGGGAUAUUGCACAAUGGGCGAAAGCCUGAUGCAGCGACGCCGCGUGGGGGAUGAAGGCCUUCGGGUUGUAAACUUCUUUUGCUCUGAACAAGGCGCACCAUGGGGAGUGUUGAGUGUAGGGGUUGAUUAGCGCCGGCUAACUACGUGCCAGCAGCCGCGGUAAUACGUAGGGCGCGAGCGUUGUCCGGAAUUCUUGGGCGUAAAGGGCUUGUAGGUGGCUGGUUGCGUCUGUCGUGAAAGCUCAUGGCUUAACUGUGGGUUUGCGGUGGGUACGGGCUGGCUUGAGUGCAGUAGGGGAGGCUGGAAUUCCUGGUGUAGCGGUGGAAUGCGCAGAUAUCAGGAGGAAUACCGGUGGCGAAGGCGGGUCUCUGGGCUGUUACUGACACUGAGGAGCGAAAGCAUGGGGAGCGAACAGG
This 419-nucleotide ribosomal RNA is filed under the name bacterium. RNAcentral describes it as "partial 16S ribosomal RNA". It matches the Rfam family "Bacterial small subunit ribosomal RNA", at positions 355 to 776 of the family's 1533-position model. The record is from RNAcentral.